This 64-nucleotide transfer RNA is filed under the name Cuspidaria undata. RNAcentral's name for it is "tRNA-Phe". Lineage: Eukaryota; Metazoa; Mollusca; Bivalvia; Cuspidariidae. The record is from RNAcentral.
GGUUUAAUAUUUUAAUAAGAAUAUGGUUUUGAAGCAGCUAAGAUGGGGUUAUCUCCUUGAACCA